GAUGAACGCGGGCGGCGUGCCUAACACAUGCAAGUCGAGCGAGGGUUUGCUCAGUAUUGAGUAUUCUAAAACUAGAAUGUUCAAUUCUGAGCAAAACCAAGCGGCGGACGGGUGAGUAACGCGUGGGUAACCUGCCCUAUACACAUGGAUAACAUACUGAAAAGUUUACUAAUACAUGAUAAUAUAUAUUUGCGGCAUCGCAGAUAUAUCAAAGUGUUAGCGGUAUAGGAUGGACCCGCGUCUGAUUAGCUAGUUGGUGAGAUAACUGCCCACCAAGGCGACGAUCAGUAGCCGACCUGAGAGGGUGAUCGGCCACAUUGGAACUGAGACACGGUCCAAACUCCUACGGGAGGCAGCAGUGGGGAAUAUUGCACAAUGGGCGAAAGCCUGAUGCAGCAACGCCACGUGAACGAUGAAGGUCUUCGGAUCGUAAAGUUCUGUUGCAGGGGAAGAUAAUGACGGUACCCUGUGAGGAAGCCCCGGCUAACUACGUGCCAGCAGCCGCGGUAAUACGUAGGGGGCUAGCGUUAUCCGGAUUUACUGGGCGUAAAGGGUGCGUAGGUGGUCCUUCAAGUCGGUGGUUAAAGGCUACGGCUCAACCGUAGUAAGCCGCCGAAACUGGAGGACUUGAGUGCAGGAGAGGAAAGUGGAAUUCCCAGUGUAGCGGUGAAAUGCGUAGAUAUUGGGAGGAACACCAGUAGCGAAGGCGGCUUUCUGGACUGCAACUGACACUGAGGCACGAAAGCGUGGGUAGCAAACAGG
RNAcentral lists this ribosomal RNA (762 nucleotides) under uncultured Peptostreptococcus sp. RNAcentral describes it as "bacterial SSU rRNA". It matches the Rfam family "Bacterial small subunit ribosomal RNA", at positions 28 to 776 of the family's 1533-position model. The record is from RNAcentral. Lineage: Bacteria; Bacillati; Bacillota; Clostridia; Peptostreptococcales; Peptostreptococcaceae.